CAACCGCAUAUAUUUGAUGCAGAAACUUAGCUUUCAGCAUAGCUGUGGAAUGCUGAUCAUUCUAGGACCAGAGCAGUAUUUUUUCUAGGAAACCACAAUGACUACAAAUCACUGAACAGAGAUGGUACAGGACGAUAGAGUUUUGACAGAUGGAGUCCGGCCGUGGAGUCUGAUCACUUGCUGUGCUGCUGGUGCAACUCCUGAAUGGGCUGGAACCUCUGAAAGCUCCAUCUCUCUCCUCUCUCUUCCUCUCCCCUCUUUGAGACAAGGUCUUACUAUACAGCCCUGGCUGUCCUGGAAAUCACUAUGUAGAUCAAACUGGCUUCAAACUCAAGAAGAUCCCUCACCUGCUUCUGCCUCCUGCGUGCUGGGAUUAAAGUCACUGCUGAGGUUGGAGCACAGAGCAGAGGCUGAUGAGCAGGUUGGACUGUCUGGUUUCCUCUGCGUCACACCUGUGCCGCCAGUUCCGCGAGGCACCAGGGCUGAUGCUUUGUCUGACUCAGUUCCUGCUUUUGCUUCAAGAUGCGCGAAGUCCGGAUGGGGUCUUCACGUUCACCACGCUGGUGUUUAGGUGGGGAAUCAAUGGAUCACCGAGAGUCCCGGAACUACCUUGCGUGGACACGGGGGUCAAAACCUAGACCAGGCUGUGGGUUACCGGAGUAGGGUUGUAGAAUGGACACAGUGGCGCCAGGUGCUUCUUUUAUCUGAAAGUCCAAGCACACGGCACAGUGCGCCCGGUUUCUGUUGGGAGGGGAGGGGAGACUCCCAUCUUGAGCUCCUACUCCUAGAUUCUCUGCUUCUGCUGGACGAGCUUCUCUGGUGCAGCACUCUGACAAGUAACACAAACGGAGCCAAGCGGAGAAAUUCUGCCGAGACUUCUUGGGUAAACACGCAAUGCUAUUUUUAGUUCAAGGUGGCAGAUGGGAGUCCCGCUGCUGAUUGUCGUUACUGUGUGUAUGUCUUCAAAAUAAAGCCACAGGUAAA
Molecule: long non-coding RNA, 984 nt
Organism: Meriones unguiculatus (Mongolian gerbil)
Lineage: Eukaryota; Metazoa; Chordata; Mammalia; Rodentia; Muridae
Exons: 4
Source: RefSeq, a predicted model, not a curated record